UAGAGUUUGAUCAUGGCUCAGGAUGAACGCUAGCGGCAGGCCUAACACAUGCAAGUCGAGGGGUAUAUAGUGCUUGCACUGUAGAGACCGGCGCACGGGUGCGUAACGCGUAUGCAAUCUACCCAUUGCAGGGGAAUAGCCCAGAGAAAUUUGGAUUAAUGCCCCAUAGUAUUAUUGAUAGGCAUCUAUUAAUAAUUAAAGAUUUAUCGGCAAUAGAUGGGCAUGCGUACUAUUAGCUAGUUGGUGUGGUAACGGCACACCAAGGCUACGAUAGUUAGGGGCCCUGAGAGGGGGAUCCCCCACACUGGUACUGAGACACGGACCAGACUCCUACGGGAGGCAGCAGUGAGGAAUAUUGGACAAUGGUGGGAACACUGAUCCAGCCAUGCCGCGUGCAGGAAGACUGCCCUAUGGGUUGUAAACUGCUUUUAUACGGGAAGAAACACCUCUACGUGUAGAGAUUUGACUGUACCGUAAGAAUAAGGAUCGGCUAACUCCGUGCCAGCAGCCGCGGUAAUACGGAGGAUCCGAGCGUUAUCCGGAAUCAUUGGGUUUAAAGGGUCCGUAGCGGGCUUGUAAGUCAGUGGUGAAAUCCGGCAGCUUAACUGUCGAACUGCCAUUGAUACUGUGAGCCUUGAAUUACUAUGAAGUGGUUAGAAUAUGUAGUGUAGCGGUGAAAUGCUUAGAUAUUACAUGGAAUACCAUUGCGAAGGCAGAUCACUAUAGUACAUUGACGCUGAGGGACGAAAGCGUGGGUAGCGAAAGGAUUAGAUACCCUGGUAGC
Molecule: ribosomal RNA, 784 nt
Filed under: uncultured Flavobacterium sp.
Lineage: Bacteria; Pseudomonadati; Bacteroidota; Flavobacteriia; Flavobacteriales; Flavobacteriaceae
Description: bacterial SSU rRNA
Rfam family: Bacterial small subunit ribosomal RNA
Source: RNAcentral